AAUUCUUAGUGGCGAACGGGUGAGUAACGCGUAGGCAACCUGCCCUUUAGACGGGGACAACAUUCCGAAAGGAGUGCUAAUACCGGAUGUGAUCAUCGUGCCGCAUGGCAGGAUGAAGAAAGAUGGCCUCUACAAGUAAGCUAUCGCUAAAGGAUGGGCCUGCGUCUGAUUAGCUAGUUGGUAGUGUAACGGCCCACCAAGGCGACGAUCAGUAGCCGACCUGAGAGGGUGACCGGCCACAUUGGGACUGAGACACGGCCCAGACUCC
This 268-nucleotide ribosomal RNA is filed under the name uncultured Phascolarctobacterium sp. Its description in RNAcentral is "partial 16S ribosomal RNA". It matches the Rfam family "Bacterial small subunit ribosomal RNA", at positions 87 to 339 of the family's 1533-position model. Lineage: Bacteria; Bacillati; Bacillota; Negativicutes; Acidaminococcales; Acidaminococcaceae. The record is from RNAcentral.